RNAcentral lists this ribosomal RNA (422 nucleotides) under uncultured bacterium. Its description in RNAcentral is "bacterial SSU rRNA". It matches the Rfam family "Bacterial small subunit ribosomal RNA", at positions 355 to 774 of the family's 1533-position model. The record is from RNAcentral.
UGAGGAAUAUUGGUCAAUGGGCGGGAGCCUGAACCAGCCAAGUCGCGUGAAGGAAGAAGGAUCUAUGGUUCGUAAACUUCUUUUGCAGGGGAAUAAAGUGCAGGACGUGUCUUGUUUUGUAUGUACCCUGAGAAUAAGGAUCGGCUAACUCCGUGCCAGCAGCCGCGGUAAUACGGAGGAUCCGAGCGUUAUCCGGAUUUAUUGGGUUUAAAGGGUGCGUAGGUGGUUUGAUAAGUCAGCGGUGAAAGUUUGCAGCUUAACUGUAAAAAUGCCGUUGAAACUGUCGGACUUGAGUGUAAAUGAGGUAGGCGGAAUGCGUGGUGUAGCGGUGAAAUGCAUAGAUAUCACGCAGAACUCCGAUUGCGAAGGCAGCUUACUAAGCUACAACUGACACUGAAGCACGAAAGCGUGGGGAUCAAACA